ACCCUUCGGACCUCAUGGUCCGGAGCUGAAAGACGGUUAUGCUGUCACUUACAGAUGGGCCCGCGGCGCAUUAGCUAGUUGGUGAGGUAACGGCUCACCAAGGCGACGAUGCGUAGCCGACCUGAGAGGGUGAUCGGCCACACUGGGACUGAGACACGGCCCAGACUCCUACGGGAGGCAGCAGUAGGGAAUCUUCCGCAAUGGACGAAAGUCUGACGGAGCAACGCCGCGUGAGUGAAGAAGGUUUUCGGAUCGUAAAACUCUGUUGUUAGGGAAGAACAAGUACGAGAGUAAYUGCUCGUACCUUGACGGUACCUAACCAGAAAGCCACGGCUAACUACGUGCCAGCAGCCGCGGUAAUACGUAGGUGGCAAGCGUUGUCCGGAAUUAUUGGGCGUAAAGCGCGCGCAGGCGGUCUUUUAAGUCUGAUGUGAAAGCCCCCGGCUCAACCGGGGAGGGUCAUUGGAAACUGGAGGACUUGAGUGCAGAAGAGGAGAGCGGAAUUCCACGUGUAGCGGUGAAAUGCGUAGAGAUGUGGAGGAACACCAGUGGCGAAGGCGGCUCUCUGGUCUGUAACUGACGCUGAGGCGCG
Molecule: ribosomal RNA, 592 nt
Filed under: Caryophanales bacterium
Lineage: Bacteria; Bacillati; Bacillota; Bacilli; Caryophanales
Description: bacterial SSU rRNA
Rfam family: Bacterial small subunit ribosomal RNA
Source: RNAcentral